GCAUUGGUGGUUCAGUGGUAGAAUUCUCGCCUCCGAAGUGGGAGACACGGAGCCGAUUCCUGGCCAAUCCA
This 71-nucleotide transfer RNA is filed under the name Danio rerio (zebrafish). It matches the Rfam family "tRNA". Rfam says of the family: Transfer RNA (tRNA) molecules are approximately 80 nucleotides in length. The record is from Rfam by way of RNAcentral. Lineage: Eukaryota; Metazoa; Chordata; Actinopteri; Cypriniformes; Danionidae.